Molecule: non-coding RNA, 29 nt
Filed under: Rattus norvegicus (Norway rat)
Lineage: Eukaryota; Metazoa; Chordata; Mammalia; Rodentia; Muridae
Source: RNAcentral
UAUUUCCUAUGCUUUUCAUACAUCACUUG